UACGUAGGGGGCAAGCGUUGUUCGGAUUUACUGGGCGUAAAGGGCGCGCAGGCGGCAGAUCAAGUCAGACGUGAAAGCCCCGGGCUUAACCUGGGAACUGCGUUUGGGACUGGUUUGCUAGAGAUCGGGAGAGGAGAGUGGAAUUCCCAGUGUAGAGGUGAAAUUCGUAGAUAUUGGGAAGAACACCGGUGGCGAAGGCGGCUCUCUGGGCCGUAACUGACGCUGAGGAGCGAAAGCAUGGGGAGCGAACAGG
RNAcentral lists this ribosomal RNA (253 nucleotides) under uncultured bacterium. RNAcentral's name for it is "partial 16S ribosomal RNA". It matches the Rfam family "Bacterial small subunit ribosomal RNA", at positions 524 to 776 of the family's 1533-position model. The record is from RNAcentral.